GCCCUCCGGGGCCUGGGCGGCAAGAGGAAAGUCCGGGCAACACAGAGCACCAUACUCUCUAACAGUGAGCUGUCGGUGACGGCAGAGUAACGUGACAGAAAAUAACAGCCACCCUAACGGGCGGUAAUGGUGAAAAGGUGGGGUAAGAGCCCACCGGGUGCUGUGGCGACACAGCAUGCCGCACGUCUUAUGGGUUGCAAGGCCAUGUAUACCGGCGCGUGGAGCCGACAUGUCGGUCUCCACAAUGGGCUGCUCGUCCAUUGCCGGGGGGUAGGCUGCUCGAGCGCCAAACAAGAUUGCGAGGCGCCACUUAGAUAAAUGACUGCGACCGCCGCGGCAACCUGUCGGAAUGUCUGACGAGAAGUCCCGCGACGACAUAACCCGGCUUAUAGUCCCGCUG
RNAcentral lists this RNase P RNA (400 nucleotides) under uncultured Duncaniella sp. Its description in RNAcentral is "Bacterial RNase P class A". It matches the Rfam family "Bacterial RNase P class A". From Rfam's summary of the family: Ribonuclease P (RNase P) is a ubiquitous endoribonuclease, found in archaea, bacteria and eukarya as well as chloroplasts and mitochondria. Its best characterised activity is the generation of mature 5'-ends of tRNAs by cleaving the 5'-leader elements of precursor-tRNAs. Cellular RNase Ps are ribonucleoproteins. Lineage: Bacteria; Pseudomonadati; Bacteroidota; Bacteroidia; Bacteroidales; Muribaculaceae. The record is from RNAcentral.